Molecule: non-coding RNA, 211 nt
Organism: Pelobates cultripes (western spadefoot toad)
Lineage: Eukaryota; Metazoa; Chordata; Amphibia; Anura; Pelobatidae
Source: the annotation of a GenBank genome assembly
AUUCCCCUUAUAAAGGCAUUCGGCAGGAGGUGGGAUCUCAUGAAAAAAAUGGAUGAAUUCUACAGAAAAUAACAUUCAAAACAAUCAGUGGUGCAUUUGGCAAGGGGACAAAAAAGUUAGCGUGCUAAGAUUUGUCACUGGAAAGCCAAGAUUCAACAGAACUUCCACCCAAUGAAUGUCCUAAUGUGUGACGUACAAACUACUUACUUUG